UACAGAGGGUGCAAGCGUUGUUCGGAAUUACUGGGCGUAAAGCGCGUGUAGGCGGCUAUGUAAGUCGGGCGUGAAAUCCCACGGCUCAACCGUGGAAGUGCACUCGAAACUGCAUAGCUAGAGUCCUGGAGAGGAAGGUGGAAUGCUUGGUGUAGAGGUGAAAUUCGUAGAUAUCAAGCGGAACACCGGUGGCGAAGGCGGCCUUCUGGACAGUGACUGACGCUGAGACGCGAAAGCGUGGGGAGCAAACAGG
This 253-nucleotide ribosomal RNA is filed under the name uncultured bacterium. RNAcentral's name for it is "partial 16S ribosomal RNA". It matches the Rfam family "Bacterial small subunit ribosomal RNA", at positions 524 to 776 of the family's 1533-position model. The record is from RNAcentral.